CCCUUAGAUGUUCUGGGCCGCACGCGCGCUACACUGGUGCGUUCAACAAGUUUACAACCUUGAUUGACAAGUCUGGGUAAUCUUUUGAAUGCGCACCGUGCUAGGGAUAGAUUAUUGCAAUUAUUAAUCUUGAACGAGGAAUUCCUAGUAAACGCAAGUCAUCAGCUUGCAUUGAUUACGUCCCUGCCCUUUGUACACACCGCCCGUCGCACCUACCGAUUGAAUGGUCCGGUGAAAUCUCGGGACGGCGGCUUGGUCGCUUGCGUCCGACUGCUGAAACUUGAUUAAACCAUAUCAUUUAGAGGAAGGUGAANUCGUANCA
This 322-nucleotide ribosomal RNA is filed under the name uncultured eukaryote. RNAcentral describes it as "partial 18S ribosomal RNA". It matches the Rfam family "Eukaryotic small subunit ribosomal RNA", at positions 1470 to 1796 of the family's 1831-position model. The record is from RNAcentral.